CAGACUGACCUCUCCUGGCCAGACCCUGCCAAGCAGCUUGGAAAAGAGAAAGGAUGAGGAGUCAUCCAUGUGUUCAUUGUUUUCUUACCACCUUCCCCCCAAAGAGAGGGAAGAAAGGGGACAAAGAGGAAAUCAGAAGGAGUAAGUUGGCCCUCCCACCCUCCAGCCUCCCCCUCUCCCCCAGACUCCCAGCUGUCGGCCUAAAAUCACAAAGCCUUUUCGCUCAAAAUCCAGAGGAAAAAAAAAAAGAGAGGAAAGCGGAGGGAAGAGAAGAAGCAGCAGUGAAUUUCAAAAGGAGGGCUAAUUUGUGCAGAGCCGGACAGCUGCAUUUGCAUAAUGAAAUGUGCAGAGGAUGUUUGGCUCAUGUAUUUUUUAGAAGGUUUAACUUUAAUUUUAUUUAGCCUAAGAAGGGCAUGUCACUCAAACUCCGCUGGUCAUUUAUAAAAAUAUUUCAAUUGUGUUUCCAAGGAGCUGUCUUUCUGGCCUAAGUGGCUGGUGCCGGAGGUUGUGAAUGCUAAUGCAGAGGUCGGGAGAUCGAUGGGGAGGGAGAGCAGGAGAGAAAAAACUGGGAGGGGCAGAGACACCCAGAAAGAGACACCGAAGACGCAAAGAAGAAAGGACAAGCAGGGAGACAAAGAAAGAAAGAGUGUGGAGUGGGACAAGGACCACCGGACUCAAAAGAAGCAGGUCAGGAAAGGAAAAGGCAGAAAGACAAGCAAACUCCCAGGGUCGUGUGUUGGGAGACAGGCCAGCAUAUGGGCCUUAGACAGGCGCCCCCACCUCCUUCUCCUCCGGCCCCUCUGCGGACACCCAGAAGUGACAGCCAUCGCCUCGCUGAGUUCAUCCCAGCCAAGGACAAAUGGAUUUCACAGUUUAUCAAGGGAGGAAGGGGCGUGUCACAGACUCAUCAACCGUGACCCACCUUUGGUCCCUGCUUUCCUGCCUGGUCUCAGCCACAGCUCCCUGGCCAGAGCUUCCUCACUGGGCUGGCUCCCAGGCCCUGCCUCCGGGGAUCAGCAAGGCUGAGAGAGAUGUCACCCUCGAUCUUCUGUGCUGUUCGGUGCCUGCCAGAGCCUCUGCCCCACCUGGCCAUGAGACCCUGCCUCUUAUCUGGGGCUCUCCACUCCGCAGGCAAGACAAAACCCCAGGACGCGGCGGAUGAAAUAAUACAUGCUCCCUCUCUAGAUUUCGCUCUCUGCUAUUAACUUUUUCUGCUUCUCUACCUUCUCCAGCCUCAUUUGAGACAAUAAUAAACGCUUCUCAUCCUCACCGCCA
Felis catus (domestic cat) is the source of this 1275-nucleotide long non-coding RNA. RefSeq lists it as uncharacterized. The transcript is spliced from 2 exons. The record is from RefSeq and is a predicted model, not a curated record. Lineage: Eukaryota; Metazoa; Chordata; Mammalia; Carnivora; Felidae.